GAGAAAUUUUACAAGUUCCAAGUGAUAACUAAUUAUAAUUUGUAUAUAAAUAUGACUCCAAAUGUGUCUUGGCCAUUUGAAUUUGCUAUUCUGCAAAUUGCCUUUAUAAAGCAUUUAUUUAUACAUUUCUCUUUUUGGAUUGUUUAUCUUAUUAAUUUAAAACAGCUGUUUAUGUUAAAGGGAGUAACUCCUUUUUUAAAAAACAUCCAUUCCUUGUCUCGACUUUGCAUGUGAUAUUAUCCCAUUCACAUAAUUUUAUUUUCUACAUGUUUAAAUGUGUAUUCUUUUACAGUUUCUGAAUUUUUAAUCUUAAAACUUAAACUUCACAUAUAAUAUUUUAAAGUGGUCUUCUGUAUAGUUUGUGUAUCUUUUGGGAAAAUGUUGCUUUGCUGAACCAGCGUGCAAUCCCCAAACUCCUCUCUCACUGCUUUAUCUUUUUUUUUUUUUUUUGAGACGGAGUCUCACUCUGUCGCCAGGCUGGAGUGCAGUGGCGCAAUCUCGGCACACUGCAACCUCUGCCUCCCGGGUUCAAGUGAUUCUCCUGCCUCAGCCUCCUGAGUAGCUGGGACUACAGGCACCCUCCACCACGCCCGGCUAAUUUUUUGUAUUUUUAGUAGAGACGGGGUUUCACCAUGUUGGCCAGGAUGGUCUUGAUCUCUUGACCUUGUGAUCCACCCGUCUUGGCCUCCCAAAGUGCUGGGAUUACAGGCAUGAGCCACCGUGCCCGGCUUACUUUAUCUUUUUUUAAAUUUAACUUUUAUUUUAAGUUCAGUAGUACCUGUGCAGGUUUGUUACACAGGUAAACCCAUAUCAUGGGGGCUUGUUGUACAUAUUAUUUCAUCACCCAGAACCCAUUAGUUAUUUUUCCUGAUCCUCUCCUUCUUCCCACUCUUCACCCUCCAGUAGGCCCCUGUGUGUGUUGUUUCUCUGUAUGUGUCCAUGUGUUCUCAUCACUUAGCUUCCAUUUAUAAGUGAGAACAUGUGGUGUUUGGUUAUAAGUGAGAAUAUGUGAUGUUUGGUUUUCUGUUCCUGCGUUAGUUUGCUAAGGAUAAUGGCCUUCAGCUCCAUCCAUAUCCCUGCAAAGGACAUGAUCUCAUUCUUUUUAAUGGCUGCAUAGUAUUCCAUGAUGUAUAUGUACCACAUUUUCUUUAUGCAGUCUACUAUUGAUGAGCAUUUAGGUUGAUUCCAUGUCUUUGCUAUUGUGAAUAGUGCUGUAACAUCAUCAUCUUCUGAAACUGGUAGUGGCCAAAUGACCUGCCUCAGCCCAAGAGAAGCAAAACACUUAAAUGUAUCCUAGGAAAACCUUUAUUUCCUAAGAAAAAAGACAGACUUAGCUGUCACCAUCAAUUCCAUCCCUUUUCCUGCCUUGUACAUUAUGCCUCCAGCAGUGGUGAUCUUCUUUCAAGCAUUGGGGAAAGGCCAAAAGAUUCACCAACACUGGUCUUGAUGUUAUUGACUCAAAAGUAGCAGCAACUUAACUACAGACUUUAGCUGUGUGAUAAAAAUAAACAUGUUUGGCAUAAAGCAUUCCAUUUUAUCUCUUUCUUAUUGUACCCGAAACCAUACCUAAACUUAUUCAGGCAAUGAAAUUUAUAAAAUAAUCCGUCCUUUUCCUACUAAAAUGAAUAUGAAAAUAUUUUAAAACCUUAGUAAACUAAAUACCUCACAUAAACCCGAGUAAGGUAAAGAGAUAAGAGAGAGCAAAAUUAUGUAAGAUUUGUA
Molecule: long non-coding RNA, 1722 nt
Filed under: Homo sapiens (human)
Lineage: Eukaryota; Metazoa; Chordata; Mammalia; Primates; Hominidae
Description: non-protein coding lnc-ZNF484-3:1
Source: RNAcentral